GCCGGGGUGGCGGAAUUGGCAGACGCGUAGCGUUGAGGGCGCUAUGGACAUCUUUGUCUGUGUGGGUUCAAAUCCCACUCCCGGCACCA
This 89-nucleotide transfer RNA is filed under the name Selenihalanaerobacter shriftii. RNAcentral's name for it is "tRNA_Leu_GAG". It matches the Rfam family "tRNA". From Rfam's summary of the family: Transfer RNA (tRNA) molecules are approximately 80 nucleotides in length. Their secondary structure includes four short double-helical elements and three loops (D, anti-codon, and T loops). The record is from RNAcentral. Lineage: Bacteria; Bacillati; Bacillota; Clostridia; Halanaerobiales; Halobacteroidaceae.